ACUGCGGCUACAGAGCCCCGAGUGGGAGGCCGGGGGGAGGCGGGGGCGCCGGAGCUGGGCUGCCUCUUACCUAUCAGGAAAUUAAAAUUUUAAGGGCUAAUUCCCCUUCAUUCAAGAAAUAUUUACUGUGAUGAAGACAUGUUCCAUGCAGAGGAAAUGGCCAAUGCAAAGAGCCCCUGACUGGAGGGCAUUUGGCACAUUCUAGGAGAGUGAGGAGGAUUCUAUGGGCCAGGAAUUCAGACAGGGCACAGUGUUGAUGGCUUGUCUGUGUCCUGGCUGGGAUGGCUCAAAUGGUUGUGGGACUAUUUGACUUGAAAGGCUGGAGCCUGGAAUCAUUUGAAACAUUGUUCACUCAUGUGUCUGGCACCUGCGUUAGAAUGACUGAAGGCUACAUCAACUAGAGUACUUACAUCCGGUCUCUCCAUGUGACUUGGACUUUUCACAGCGUGGAGGCUGGAUUUCAAAGGUCAACUGAGAAUGGCAGAGGACUCAUCCCACCUUUGCCACAUGGUGACUUGCCCCACUCCCCCAGGUGACCUUGCUCGUGCAUGUGGAUAUUUGCUCAGAUUAAGAAUGUUUCCCACAAAAUUGCUUACUCUCUUUCAUUCUGUCCGUGGUUGCUUGUGGUUUAUUUGUUGAUAACUGAGACUAUUUAAAGAUUGCCAAAACAAAAGCCAUUUCUUUUCUCCCCGAAUAGCCUCAUUUUUUCUAUUCCCUUUUUCCCCUCCUAUUAACAUUUCUGGGGACUCUAAAGCAGAGCUCAAGAUGGUUCAGGACCACGGAGAGCGCAAGGAAGGGGAACUACCAAAGCACUUUAGUCAUGCAGGUGGGGAAAGAGAUGAUCCUAAAAUUGUUUUUAUUUUUCUGUUUUUUUGAGAGGGAGUCUCGCUCUGUCACCCAGGCUGGAGUGCAGUAGCACGAUCUUGGCUCACUUCAACCUCCGCGUCCCGGGUCCAAGCGAUUCUAGCGCCUCAGCCUCCUGAGUAGCUGGGAUUACAGGUGUGCACCACCAUGCCCAGCUAAUUUUUUGUAUUUUUAGUAGAGACUGGGUUUUGCCAUGUUGGCCAGGCUGGUCUCCAAUUCCUGACCUCCAGUGAUCCACCCCCCUCAGUCUCCCAAAGUGCUGGGAUUACAGGCGUGAGCCACCACGCCCAGCCAAUAGUGGAAUUGUUGCCGGACAAUAUUUAUUUAAAAGACAUUAUUGUAAAGAGUAACAGUGUAAUUCUGGCUCCUUGAAAUUUGAGGGGAAUGAUUUUUCUGGACAUUCGACCAGUGCUUUCUAAAUUUCUCCACUGAAUUCUAUCUAAUGACAGAUGAGAGGACACUGAAAGUAGGAGUAGCCAUAAGUCACCAGUGCAAAAUGUCUUUUGAAGUUUGCAUUUAUUGAUUGCUACCAUUUAUGUAAAGUUUUACAGUUUUGACAGUCAUAGGGUUCACCAAUCCACCAUAGAAGAGAAUUAAGUCAUGCGGACACAGCAGGGUUUAGAAUGGAUGAGUAGAGGAGUGUGUGCAGGCUCCAGUCCCCAAAGUCUCUAGGACUGUCCUAGAACCUGCAGCUCAUCUGUCAAUUCUGUCAACUACUCAGGAUCCUCUCAAGAAUUAUCCCCCCAUACCCACCUUUUAAAUUUCCUCAAGCUAGUUUCAUUUGAGUUUUGUCACUUGCAACUGAAUGAGCCCUGCUAAUGCAGAUAGAUUCAAUUGAGAAGGGGAAUUCUAGGCUAGGAGUACAAGGUUACAGGCAAGGAGACAGGAACAUAGCUUGGGAUUUCCUGGGGCAGUGAGAAAACUGACUUUAAAAAAAUGGAAUGGUUUCUAAAAUGUUUGUACAACUUCUCUGUAUGGCAAUGGGGUAGGAGUAUAAAUUCUUUCAGCUUCUUCUGAGGGCAGCUGAACAAGAAGUAUAAAAAUUUUGAAUGCUGAUAACAUUUGACCUAGCAAUUCCAUCUCUAGAAAUAAAUUCUACAGUAGUAAUCUUAAAAACGUAUUCACUGAAAUGUUAUUUUCUCAUAGAAAAUGUCGAAACAACAUAUGUGUCCAUCAAUAGAGAACUUGCUAAAUGAUUUAUACUACCUUUACAUAUUGAAAUACGCAUAGCCGUGGAAGAUAAUUUAGUAGAUCUAUAUGUCCCAUUAUGGAACAAUCCCCAUGGUGGGGGGAAAAGUAAGGUGCAGAACUGUAUCAUAGAUGUUCUCUCUCUCUCUCUUUUUUUUUGGAAAGCACAUGUAUGCUUUUAUAUACACAGAAAAAUUCUAGAAUGGCAAACAAGAUAUCUUUGCAAUAGUUUUUUUCUGGGAGGGGACUCAUUUAAAAAAAUUCUCCCAUAUUGCUUGUUUUGUUUUGUUAAAGACAUCCAUGUAUUCCUACUUGGGUUAAGCCAUGAUAACUAAAUAUGAUUAAAGUUCAGAACAAUAAAAACCUUAGAGAUGUAUACAUAAAUAUCACUUGCUUAGGAAUUUCUAGGUAGGUACUAUUUUAAGCCCUCUACAUAUAUUAUUUCAUUCAAUCCUUGGAGCAACUCUAGGAGGGAGGUGUUAUCCUCUAAUUGCAGAUGAGGUUGAUGAAGCUUAAAGAGUAAUGAUGCCUUGAGUCCAUCCUCUGGCUCCAAAGCCCUUGUAUUUAACUGUUCUCCCUUUUGCAUCCCUGUGCUAAAGUGACUUUGCUAUAAUAUCCACAAGGAAGAAUUUCUGUGUAAAAAUUAGACUUCCUUGCAGGCAGUCUAUCAGUGAUAUCCAAUAAAGACUCAAUAAUGGCUAACAAUACAAACCACACACACAAGAAAAACUUCUCCUUUUGUGCCAGGUACUUAGAUUAGGUGUAGUGGUUUUCUUAAACUGAUUAUCAAGGUAAACACCACCUCAUACAUUUCAGCAGAGAGCAGUGGUUUCUCUCUCCAGCAGUGGGAGCCAUUGAAUCAGGACAAUGCCACACAGUUGGGCUUUCAUGUUAGAUAGAUCACUCUUGUGGUUUUGGGGGAUGGCAUUAUAAGAGAGGAGACUGGAGACAGGGGGGCUAUUGUCAUGCAGAUUUGUUGGAUGUCCACCCAGCAUUCACUUUUUCCAUCUUUUGCCAGGGGUACACUACACAACAUCACCAGUCAUUUCAUAGAAUGGCAAUUAGAUUAGGCUUAGGUCUGCACUGCCUUCCUUCACUCCGCUCUGUCACUUGCCAUCAUUGUAAAUGCUGACAACUUAGUGCCUUUCAUGCUUCAAGUAUCAAUAAGAUAGGAAUAGUAAUAGUAUCACAUUGAAUUAUUGUGGAGUUUUGAACAGAUGAUACUUGUGUUAUCAGUGCUCAAU
Homo sapiens (human) is the source of this 3296-nucleotide long non-coding RNA. Lineage: Eukaryota; Metazoa; Chordata; Mammalia; Primates; Hominidae. The record is from Ensembl.